UCGUUAUAGGUCACACAGCAAGUUGGCCAUUACUGGCAAUAUAUUUCAAAUUGGACAAGAAUUCCUCAUUUCGAAACUCAAAUCAGAAGAGUCCGGAUUUAACAUGGGAGCAUUUUUUAGACUGCUGGUUGCCAUGGUGGUUGUUGCUAUGGUGAUGUACCUGGUGCCCUGUGGAGUGGAAGGCUUCAAGCUUACCAAGGUGGGAAUGUGCUACUGGGUGUGCCUCGAUGACUGUGACGCGUGGGGCACCUGCUCUCCUAACUGUGAGCUUGUUGGGCCUUCAAAUUACUGCUAAAUAUGUUAUCUUGCUGGACAAACAGCAAAGACAUGAAGGCCAUUUGGUGGACAGCAUAAACAGAAGAACCCACCAGUUGUUAGGGUGCAUUUAUUGACCUUAUCAUAAGCAUGUAAACCAUAGUUACCUGUAACAUAAUAUACGUGAUAAUCACUCAACCAUGAUAGAACACACACCACUAAAAGCAAAUGAAAGUAUAAACUUAAUGUUGUAUAAAAUUCUAUAUGAUUUGGAACAUAUUAUUAUGAAUGAAGACAUACUUAUUACUAUGACAGAUAUUGUAUAUAUAUGCAGACAUUUAUCAUUAUUCUGACACUGUGGUUUGAACAAGUAUUCAUUCAAAUGAUGUAUUUCCAAGAUAUUUCCAAAAUAGUUAAGACUUAAUUGAAAUAAACAGCUUUAAACUUG
Molecule: long non-coding RNA, 703 nt
Organism: Mya arenaria
Lineage: Eukaryota; Metazoa; Mollusca; Bivalvia; Myida; Myidae
Exons: 3
Source: RefSeq, a predicted model, not a curated record